GCAUCGAUGGUUCAGUGGUAAAAUGCUCGCCUGCCACGCGGGCGCCCGGGUUCGAUUCCCGGCCGAUGCA
This 70-nucleotide transfer RNA is filed under the name Cordylochernes scorpioides. RNAcentral's name for it is "tRNA-Gly". It matches the Rfam family "tRNA". Rfam says of the family: Transfer RNA (tRNA) molecules are approximately 80 nucleotides in length. Their secondary structure includes four short double-helical elements and three loops (D, anti-codon, and T loops). Further hydrogen bonds mediate the characteristic L-shaped molecular structure. tRNAs have two regions of fundamental functional importance: the anti-codon, which is responsible for specific mRNA codon recognition, and the 3' end, to which the tRNAs corresponding amino acid is attached (by aminoacyl-tRNA synthetases). tRNAs cope with the degeneracy of the genetic code in two manners: having more than one tRNA (with a specific anti-codon) for a particular amino acid; and 'wobble' base-pairing, i.e. permitting non-standard base-pairing at the 3rd anti-codon position. Lineage: Eukaryota; Metazoa; Arthropoda; Arachnida; Pseudoscorpiones; Chernetidae. The record is from RNAcentral.